Molecule: ribosomal RNA, 409 nt
Filed under: uncultured bacterium
Lineage: Bacteria
Description: partial 16S ribosomal RNA
Rfam family: Bacterial small subunit ribosomal RNA
Source: RNAcentral
CCUCGCAAGAGGAGCGGCGGACGGGUGAGUAACGCGUGGGAACGUACCCUUUGCUACGGAAUAGCCUCGGGAAACUGGGAGUAAUACCGUAUGUGCCCCCCCAAUCAAAUUUCAUUUGAUUGAAUAAUCAGACUUAUCGAAUUCCAGUGGAAUUUGAUGGGGGGGGAAAGAUUUAUCGGCAAGGGAUCGGCCCGCGUUGGAUUAGGUAGUUGGUGGGGUAAUGGCCUACCAAGCCGACGAUCCAUAGCUGGUUUGAGAGGAUGAUCAGCCACACUGGGACUGAGACACGGCCCAGACUCCUACGGGAGGCAGCAGUGGGGAAUCUUAGACAAUGGGCGCAAGCCUGAUCUAGCCAUGCCGCGUGAGCGAUGAAGGCCUUAGGGUUGUAAAGCUCUUUCAGGGGGGAAGA